AGGCCCACGCAUCUUCCCCAUCUCAUCGACGGCAAUCGGGCGUACACGUUAAUAGUUAACGGCAACAGAGCAGAGUUGUCGUGGCACCACGACCUAGACACCUGGCACGUUCUGAGCGCCCUCCAACCCGGGCACCCCGGAUCAGCUGACUCACCAUGGGAAACUAUAUAUGUGGUACACUGAGGAAGAAGAAAAAUAAAGAUGGAGAUGACAGUGAUGAUCAGAGCAGCCCAGACACAGAAAAGAAGGAAGAGGAUGUGACAUACGCCACCAUUGACCAUAGCAACACCAAGACAACAGGUGUCAUAAUAGAUUCUCACACUAACGACUGUGACUACGCCAUUGUUAAACCUCCAACUUGCCUCGCCCACCAGUCGUUAAUUAAAGAAGACUGUGCAGAUGACUAUGUCUUCAUGGGCUGACCUCAUGUACAAUGUGUGUGUGUGUGUGGGGGGGGACAUUUUGAAGGGGGACAAUGGAGAUGCAAGGUGGACAUAGGCCUGGGGCAAGCUGGACAGCACCUUCCUGGACCAAAAUACCCUAGAUGUGACUAUGAUAGCGCCCACAAAUGGAACUUUUCUUGAUGCAGUGUGGUUGCAGGAAUUAUGUGCUUCUAUAGUUAUGUUUAAUUAUGUUUUACAGUCACAUUAUGCUUAUGUUAAUGUUUACAUUUUUUUCCCUAAGAGAAACGGAUGCUUUAGUUCAAACUUUCUAUGUGGUUUAUUUGGCCUCUUGACAGAGGGAACAUACAGGCCAGAGAUUCAAAGGCUAUAGCUAUCAUACUGACCCCUGAGAUACAACUACCAACCACACCACACACACACCCUGGGAGAGAUGAGAUGUUUAUGGUUUGCGAUAGAAUUAUGUGUUUGAAUUUUAUGCAAAAUAUUUUCUUUGCACAAAUCUAUUUGAAUGAGAUACAGUAAGGUGAGAGCGGGAUUGGAGAUACUGUUGUUUUGUGAACCGGUCUUAGCUGUUUCUCAAAAUCACCAGGAACUGUUGUAUCCUAUCAAUGAUGGAUGCAAAGAUGGAUUAAAUCAACAUCGUUAGAACUUUUGUAUCCUUACAUUUAUAACAUCAAUGGCAACAAUCAACGGCAG
Long non-coding RNA from Oncorhynchus tshawytscha (Chinook salmon), 1100 nucleotides. Lineage: Eukaryota; Metazoa; Chordata; Actinopteri; Salmoniformes; Salmonidae. The record is from Ensembl.